This 71-nucleotide transfer RNA is filed under the name Clostridia bacterium. RNAcentral describes it as "tRNA-Thr". It matches the Rfam family "tRNA". Rfam says of the family: Transfer RNA (tRNA) molecules are approximately 80 nucleotides in length. Their secondary structure includes four short double-helical elements and three loops (D, anti-codon, and T loops). Lineage: Bacteria; Bacillati; Bacillota; Clostridia. The record is from RNAcentral.
GCCCCUGUCCGCUAAUGGUAGGCGAAUAGAUUUGUAAUCUAUCAAUCGCGGUUCGAGUCCGCGCGGGGGCU